AGAGUACGUGAAACCGUUCAGGGGUAAACGUGAUGAAACCCAAAAGAUCGAAUGGGGAGAUUCAUCGUCAGCCGCUUUGGCUUCCGUGUGGUUCGCGAUGAUCGGGAUUUCGGUCCCGUGUCACGCAAUCGCUGCGGUUGUCCGAGGUGGUCGGCGUGCACUUCUCCCCUAGUAGGACGUCGCGAUUCGUUGGGUGUCGGUUUACGGACCGGUAGGUCGUCUGACAAGUUACGUUCACGCGUGCACUAGUCAGACCUCUGGUUUCCCAACCGGCUGCCCGGCGAUAUAAAACGAUAAUCAAUGGUAUUGGGCCGCAUCGAAUGCGUUCAGGCUCAUCGGCAGAUACGCCUCGCUCGGAUUUACGGACCUAGUGCCGUUGCCGGGUGCUUGGCGUGUCGUUCGCCGACGGUGUCCUCGGACUGGCUCUUUAUAUUCUUUACGAAUAUACCGAUCGGCGACGCUACUGCUUUGGGUACUUUCAGGACCCGUCUUGAAACACGGACCAAGGAGUCUAACAUGUGCGCGAGUCAUUGAGUCAAUUAAAGCUUAAAGGCGUAAUGAAAGUAAAGGUCUUCCUUAGCGUCGACCGAGGGAGGAUGGCUGACGUUACGAUGUUAGCUCGCACUCCCGGGGCAUCUCGUGUUCAUUGCGAACAGAGGUGCACCCAGAGCGCACACGUUGGGACCCGAAAGAUGGUGAACUAUGCCUGGUCAGGACGAAGUCAGGGGAAACCCUGAUGGAGGUCCGUAGCGAUUCUGACGUGCAAAUCGAUCGUCGGAACUGGGUAUAGGGGCGAAAGACUAAUCGAACCAUCUAGUAGCU
RNAcentral lists this ribosomal RNA (822 nucleotides) under Encarsia heratyi. RNAcentral describes it as "eukaryotic LSU rRNA". It matches the Rfam family "Eukaryotic large subunit ribosomal RNA", at positions 392 to 952 of the family's 3401-position model. Lineage: Eukaryota; Metazoa; Arthropoda; Insecta; Hymenoptera; Aphelinidae. The record is from RNAcentral.